GACGAACGCUGGCGGCGUGCUUAACACAUGCAAGUCGAACGGAAAGGCCCUCCUUUGGUGGUGUGCUCGAGUGGCGAACGGGUGUGUAACACGUGAGUAACCUCCCCUUGACUUUGGGAUAACUUCAGGAAACUGGGGCUAAUACCGGAUAGGAUCUCCUGCUGCAUGUUGGGGUGUGGAAAGUUUCGUCGGGUGGGGUUGGACUCGCGGCUUAUCAGCUUGUUGGUGGGGUAGUGCCUUACCAAGGCUUGAACGGUUAGCGGGCCUGAGAGGGUGACCGGGCACAUUGGGACUGAGAGACGGGGCAGAGUCCUCCGGGAGGCAGAAGUGGGGAAUAUUGUGCGAAGGGCGGAAGCCUGAUGCAGAAACGCCGCGCGCGAGAUAACGGCGUUCGGGUUGUAAAAAGCUCUCGCACGUGAGGCAGAGAGAGUGACGGUACUGGGUAAAGAAGCAACGGCUAACUACGUG
Molecule: ribosomal RNA, 468 nt
Filed under: uncultured bacterium
Lineage: Bacteria
Description: partial 16S ribosomal RNA
Rfam family: Bacterial small subunit ribosomal RNA
Source: RNAcentral